UGGGGAAUAUUGCACAAUGGGCGCAAGCCUGAUGCAGCCAUGCCGCGUGUGUGAAGAAGGCCUUCGGGUUGUAAAGCACUUUCAGCAGGGAGGAAGGCGUUAAGGUUAAUAACCUUGGCGAUUGACGUUACCCGCAGAAGAAGCACCGGCUAACUCCGUGCCAGCAGCCGCGGUAAUACGGAGGGUGCAAGCGUUAAUCGGAAUUACUGGGCGUAAAGCGCACGCAGGCGGUUUGUUAAGUCAGAUGUGAAAUCCCCGGGCUCAACCUGGGAACUGCAUCUGAUACUGGCAAGCUUGAGUCUCGUAGAGGGGGGUAGAAUUCCAGGUGUAGCGGUGAAAUGCGUAGAGAUCUGGAGGAAUACCGGUGGCGAAGGCGGCCCCCUGGACGAAGACUGACGCUCAGGUGCGAAAGCGUGGGGAGCAAACAGG
RNAcentral lists this ribosomal RNA (429 nucleotides) under Chloroflexota bacterium. Its description in RNAcentral is "Chloroflexi bacterium partial 16S ribosomal RNA". It matches the Rfam family "Bacterial small subunit ribosomal RNA", at positions 355 to 776 of the family's 1533-position model. The record is from RNAcentral. Lineage: Bacteria; Bacillati; Chloroflexota.